AUUAUUCCAACAAUUGGCCGGUAUGGCUGGCUGCAACGCCAGUGCCACGCCCAUGGAGCCCAAGCUGAAGCUGCUCAAGGAAGGGGACACGCCAAGUGUCGACACAACGGAGUACCGCAGCGUCAUCGGCAGCCUUAGGUACUUGUGCAACUCUAGGCCGCGUCUUAUGUGGCAAUGGUGAGUGUACAAGGUUAUGGAUAUGGUACAGCAUUGUUGGUCGUUUCACGUUGAACCAAAAUUUUGAUUUUCAGUUUUUCUAUUGCUUGUUCAAUCAAUAUUUGUUUGUUGUUGAUAAUGAGUCAUUGCAACCCCCACCUAUGAUAGCUUUGAGUGUGUUUAUACCCCAGAUUCCUAGUUAUGCAAAUUCAGAGUCCAUGGUUCUUUAAAUAGGAUUUUGUUAAUACCUUCAUAUCUGAACCUACAGUAGGCUUCUAUAAUUGAUCAUGUACACCAAUUUUACAACCUGGCAGUUCUGAUUUUAAGGGCAGCAUGUUAUGGCACUGCCAAUCAUAUUGUGCUUGGAUAGUUGUAUGCUUGUUGAAACUAAUCAAUAUUUGAAGAAAACUCGCAACACAUGGUAGAAUCACUGAUAGUCUUGUUUGGUGAGGUCAUGUUUGGGCAACGUCUAAUCCUGUUAGUCUUUUGGCAACGUCUAAUCCUGUUAGUUUCAUCAAAAACGUCUAAUCCUGUUUCGGCUAAUAUGUAAACGGCAAAAACCAAACAGAGCUCGGGCGUGCGGCACCAAACCAAACAGGGCCUCAUUGUUUUCUCCUCCUUUGACAGGGCCAAAUACCGUGUGAAAAAUGCGGAUCCAAUUACCAAGUCCAAGGCUGUCGCUGCAUAUGGAGUGGUGGUUAUGGGGGCACCGACGAUCUUUCUGGUGCAUGUGACAAUGAACUGCAGCAUUUGACUUUGUGUUUAAUUAGCCAGGAAACUUCUUAAUUUGAAGCUGUAUAAUGUUAAGUCAUCUUUGCAUUUGGUAUUGAUCGCCUCGGCGGUUGUAGCACCUAGAAAUGUACCUUUAUGAUACUGUAUGUAUAAUGGAAGUAUCUGCCUUGUGCUGAUAUAACUUUCUGAAGGUACUAUGCUGUGGUCUUAACUCGAAACUGAAACCACAUUGUGCUGG
This 1126-nucleotide long non-coding RNA is filed under the name Sorghum bicolor (sorghum). RNAcentral's name for it is "long non-coding RNA (SBIC_LNC004021)". The record is from RNAcentral. Lineage: Eukaryota; Viridiplantae; Streptophyta; Magnoliopsida; Poales; Poaceae.